Molecule: ribosomal RNA, 253 nt
Filed under: uncultured bacterium
Lineage: Bacteria
Description: partial 16S ribosomal RNA
Rfam family: Bacterial small subunit ribosomal RNA
Source: RNAcentral
UACGUAGGGAGCAAGCGUUGUUCGGAUUUACUGGGCGUAAAGGGCGCGUAGGCGGCGCGGUAAGUCACUUGUGAAAUCUCUGAGCUUAACUCAGAACGGCCAAGUGAUACUGCAGUGCUAGAGUGCAGAAAGGGCAAUCGGAAUUCUUGGUGUAGCGGUGAAAUGCGUAGAUAUCAAGAGGAACACCUGAGGCGACGGCGGGUUGCUAGGCUGACACUGACGCUGAGGCGCGAAAGCGUGGGGAGCAAACCGG